GUGCUUUUAAACAAACUUCAUCAUUUAUUUAAAACACUUCUAUAGCUGUCCAUCUUUCAGCCAACUGUGGGUGGCUCCUGAUCAAAAACUAAAAAGACAUAUAAAAUCAUUUUUAAAAACUGUCAAAAAACAACUGGUCAAUACAUAAAACAUCAGAACAAGAAAAAUCUGGUGCCAAUCCUUGUUAAUGUGCCGUUAUCUAAGCCACUCCCUAUACUUGGGGGGAAAGCCAGGUCUUUAAGAAGGCUAAAAAGAUGGAAGCCUGUCAAACUUCAGGGGACAAGAUGCCCAUAGGGUAAGGGCUGCCAUGGGAAAUGUUCCCUUUCUCCUAUUAAAUAGUAUUUAGGGAGCUGACCUAUCUGAUCUGGUCAAUAUCCUUACGGAAAGGAGGUCCUCCCCACAGAUAACUUGGCUUCAUGCAAUAUGGGGCUUUAAAGAUGAUGACCAGUACCUUUAUUUCCACUUGCAAAUGAACUGGACGUCAGUGCAGCUUGCAUAAUACUAGUGCUAUGAGGGCAAACCUAUUAAUCCCUGUUACUAUCUGCUCUGCCGCAUUCUGGACCAGUUGAAGUAUUGUGGUAAUCUAGAUGGGAAGUGAUCAAGGCUUGAGUGACUGUGAGCAAAGCCACAGGGUGCAAUUGGUUUGAUCAUGAUAAAGUCUGCAGAUUUUUAAGGAAAGCAUAUUCCAGUAGCUGUUCUAUAUGGAGUUCUAACUUCCUCACAACUAAUUUUUGAAGGAUUUACUUGAGAGACUACCUGUUUUCCAUACUAUCUGCCUGGCUGGUUCAAUCUGGCAGGAUUUGUAGACCCCAGAAGUGCACCUUUUCUGUAGCAAUACUUGUCCUCUGGGAUGUGGUUCCCCCUCUAAGAUUCAAAACUACUCUACUGAUAUUUCAAAAGGCCCUCAACAUAUUGGCUCUUUGCCCAGAUCUUUGGUGAGAUGGUUAAUGCUCCUUUGCUUCCUUUUCCUUGUUCCCACCCAAGUUUUUCUCUGCUUUCUUUUCUUUUUUGCAUUUCUUGUUUUGUUACCUUUUAAAUGCUUUUAACAAAUUGUUAACCAUCCAAAGUUGCUGGGAGUUGAAUGUCCUAUAAAUUUAACUGACUGUGACCAGAACCAUCUUUCUUCUACAAACCCUUUAAUUCAUUUGAAUGCAAUAUAUUUUCUUCUUCCAAUUGGUCUCAAAUUAUCUGUACUGGUCAUACAAAUGUUACCAAAGUUUAAAGCGAUAUAUAUUCAAGAUUAUCUAUGCCAAGGUACAAAAUAAAGCUAGGAAGUUUCAAUAGUGUACAGUAUACAUGUACCAGAAGCAGCAAAUGAAUGGAUGUGAAAAACAAGCCAACUAUUCUUCCAGACUGAAAUAAAACACAACUUCUUUAAGUUGCUAGUUUAACAUACAGAUUAGGAAGAUGCUACUUUUUUUGUCAAGAUUUAAUUCGCUAGCAAGUAUUCAGGUUAUGAACCAAGUUCUUUCUAUACUGAAUAAUAUUCCAUAUAUAGUAUGUCAUAAUCAAUGGCUCAUAUAAGGACUCCUUACUACUAUGAUCUGAGUUCCUUAGGACAGGAAUGAAGUAUUGGAGGGCCACCCAGAGGCCAAAUAUUCUCCCAUUUGGAAAUAGCUCUUGCAAUGCUCAGAAAGGGAUUACCACCUUGCAGUUUUCACUAGAAAGUUCUUUGUUGGGAUAGUAGGCCCAGCAGCCCAACUUUGCAGCUUUUGCACUGUCAUGUAUUUGCUAUUUAAUAACUGGAUGCUGAUUUCCCCCCUGGCAAAAUGUCAUAACUUACUAGAUUCCAGG
Molecule: non-coding RNA, 1794 nt
Organism: Pseudonaja textilis
Lineage: Eukaryota; Metazoa; Chordata; Lepidosauria; Squamata; Elapidae
Source: RefSeq, a predicted model, not a curated record